GAACGCUGGCGGCGUGCCUAAUACAUGCAAGUCGAGCGAACAGACGAGGAGCUUGCUCCUCUGACGUUAGCGGCGGACGGGUGAGUAACACGUGGAUAACCUACCUAUAAGACUGGGAUAACUUCGGGAAACCGGAGCUGAUACCGGAUAAUAUAUUGAACCGCAUGGUUCAAUAGUGAAAGACGGUUUUGCUGUCACUUAUAGAUGGAUCCGCGCCGCAUUAGCUAGUUGGUAAGGUAACGGCUUACCAAGGCAACGAUGCGUAGCCGACCUGAGAGGGUGAUCGGCCACACUGGAACUGAGACACGGUCCAGACUCCUACGGGAGGCAGCAGUAGGGAAUCUUCCGCAAUGGGCGAAAGCCUGACGGAGCAACGCCGCGUGAGUGAUGAAGGUCUUCGGAUCGUAAAACUCUGUUAUUAGGGAAGAACAAAUGUGUAAGUAACUAUGCACGUCUUGACGGUACCUAAUCAGAAAGCCACGGCUAACUACGUG
Molecule: ribosomal RNA, 494 nt
Filed under: uncultured bacterium
Lineage: Bacteria
Description: partial 16S ribosomal RNA
Rfam family: Bacterial small subunit ribosomal RNA
Source: RNAcentral